UACAGAGGUCUCAAGCGUUGUUCGGAUUUAUUGGGCGUAAAGGGUGCGUAGGCGGCGCUGUAAGUCGGGUGUGAAAUUUCGGAGCUUAACUCCGAAACUGCAUUCGAUACUGCGGUGCUUGAGGACUGGAGAGGAGACUGGAAUUCAUGGUGUAGCAGUGAAAUGCGUAGAGAUCAUGAGGAAGACCAGUGGCGAAGGCGGGUCUCUGGACAGUUCCUGACACUGAGGCACGAAGGCCAGGGGAGCAAACGGG
This 253-nucleotide ribosomal RNA is filed under the name uncultured bacterium. RNAcentral's name for it is "partial 16S ribosomal RNA". It matches the Rfam family "Bacterial small subunit ribosomal RNA", at positions 524 to 776 of the family's 1533-position model. The record is from RNAcentral.